RNAcentral lists this long non-coding RNA (251 nucleotides) under Lathyrus oleraceus (garden pea). RNAcentral describes it as "Pisum sativum (pea) long non-coding RNA (PSAT_LNC038624)". Lineage: Eukaryota; Viridiplantae; Streptophyta; Magnoliopsida; Fabales; Fabaceae. The record is from RNAcentral.
AGCCCCUUAAGCAGAAAGACUUUAACCUUUCUUCGUUUCCCCAAUGAGUUUGUUUCCUCGUGGAUGGUUGUUAUUUCAGUUCCCUCUCCAGCAAAUUUUCUGGAUGGAAUUACUCCUCUUGAGAUAUGUCCUCAAUGGGUCAAGUCUUGAUUGAUUUCUUCCUUCUAGCUCUUACCUAGAUGGAUACUUUGGUCCCUUGAGAGUCUAUUACCCAGUAACUGGUAAUAUUCUUCUUAGUUUGCAGUUUGUUA